This 460-nucleotide ribosomal RNA is filed under the name uncultured bacterium. RNAcentral's name for it is "partial 16S ribosomal RNA". It matches the Rfam family "Bacterial small subunit ribosomal RNA", at positions 338 to 795 of the family's 1533-position model. The record is from RNAcentral.
CCUACGGGUGGCAGCAGUGAGGAAUAUUGGUCAAUGGACGCAAGUCUGAACCAGCCAUGCCGCGUGCAGGAAGACGGCUCUAUGAGUUGUAAACUGCUUUUGUACGAGGGUAAACGCAGAUACGCGUAUCUGUCUGAAAGUAUCGUACGAAUAAGGAUCGGCUAACUCCGUGCCAGCAGCCGCGGUAAUACGGAGGAUUCAAGCGUUAUCCGGAUUUAUUGGGUUUAAAGGGGGCGUAGGCGGGCGGAUAAGUUAGAGGUGAAAGCCCGAGGCUCAACUUUGGAAUUGCCUUUGAUACUGUUCGGCUAGAGAGUAGUUGCGGUAGGCGGAAUGUAUGGUGUAGCGGUGAAAUGCUUAGAGAUCAUACAGAACACCGAUUGCGAAGGCAGCUUACCAAGCUACCUCUGACGUUGAGGCACGAAAGCGUGGGGAGCAAACAGGAUUAGAUACCCGAGUAGUC